UACGUAGGUGGCAAGCGUUGUCCGGAUUUAUUGGGUUUAAAGGGUGCGUAGGCGGCCUUAUAAGUCAGUGCUGAAAUAUCCCGGCUUAACCGGGAGGGUGGCAUUGAUACUGUAGGGCUUGAGUGUAGUCGAGGUAGGCGGAAUUGACGGUGUAGCGGCGAAAUGCUUAGAUAUCGUCAAGAACACCGAUAGUGUAGACAGCUUACUAGGCUACAACUGACGCUGAGGCACGAAAGUGUGGGGAUCAAACAGG
Molecule: ribosomal RNA, 253 nt
Filed under: uncultured bacterium
Lineage: Bacteria
Description: partial 16S ribosomal RNA
Rfam family: Bacterial small subunit ribosomal RNA
Source: RNAcentral